This 378-nucleotide ribosomal RNA is filed under the name Fridericia sohlenii. Its description in RNAcentral is "partial 12S ribosomal RNA". Lineage: Eukaryota; Metazoa; Annelida; Clitellata; Enchytraeida; Enchytraeidae. The record is from RNAcentral.
UUAAGACCUAAAAAUAUGCUGGAUAAUAAAAUCAACUGAUUAAAAUUCAAAGAAUAUGGCGGUGUUUUUAUAUAAUCCGGGGAACCUGUAUCUUAAUUCGAUAUUCCACGAAAGUUCAACCUCUUUUUGUAAAUUCAGCCUGUGUACUGCUGUCGCCAGUAAACCUAUAAAAGAAAGUUUACAAUAAAUACAACCUAUUUUACGUCAAGUCAAAGUGCAGCCAAUAAAGAGGAGAUUAUGGGUUACAAUCUUAAUACAGAUUACGAAUGAAUAAAAUAAAAAUAUUCUAAAGGUGGACUUGAAAGUAAUAUUUAAACAAAAUCAAUAUAAAAAUUUCUAAAACAUGUACACAUCGCCCGUCACUCUCAUCUAAAGACG